Molecule: ribosomal RNA, 253 nt
Filed under: uncultured bacterium
Lineage: Bacteria
Description: partial 16S ribosomal RNA
Rfam family: Bacterial small subunit ribosomal RNA
Source: RNAcentral
UACGUAGGGGGCAAGCGUUGUCCGGAUUCAUUGGGCGUAAAGAGCGUGUAGGCGGCCAGGUAGGUCCGAUGUGAAAACUGGAGGCUCAACCUCCAGCUGUCAUUGGAAACCCUCUGGCUAGAGUCCGGAAGAGGAGAGUGGAAUUCCUGGUGUAGCGGUGAAAUGCGCAGAUAUCAGGAAGAACACCCGUGGCUAAGGCGGCUCUCUAGUACGGUACUGACGCUGAGACGCGAAAGCGUGGGGAGCGAACAGG